CUUUAAAAGUCUGUACCCAUUAGCAGUCCCUCCAUAUUCUCCUCUCCUCCACUCCCUGACAACUAGCAAUUGUGUUUCAACAGAAAGGUGAGAGGGAGGGAAGUUAGCCCAGGUGUUUGGGAACUGGGCACAGUAGUGGGUGAAUAAAGCUGAUAAGAUGAAAGUACUGAAAUGUAGAGAAGCUGUGAGAGGAUUGUAAUAGGGUCAGCAAGGUAGUAUCCAGGAUAGACUUGGGGGCAGAUUGGGUGGGAUCCUGUAAUGAGAAGAGGUAAGGUGCUGUACUGAAAGAUACUGGGGUUUGAGGGCAGUGGAGAGGGACCCUGCCCUUGGGGCAGAUGAAUUGAAGGCUCAAGAGAGGAACUGGCUGUGGAAUUGAAGAGGAUCUAUAGGAAUAAGUGAUUGAUUGCUGCUGAGCAUAUGAAAUUUAUGAAUAAUGUAGAUUUCUAGAAUGCUGACUCUGCUUUGUAGUGUUUAUCUUAGAUAAUUGUCUCCACAACUUGGCCUGGGGAAUUGUAAAUUCUCAUCCUGCAGAUGAAGAAACAGUCUUUUAAUGGUUAGGUGACUUCCUGAAACUCAUCAGGUUAGUAAAUAGGGAAAAAUGAGUGGAGAUUAGAGAAUAAUUGAUGCACUUGGCUUAAGUGGCAGACCAUUGAGGUCGGACAAGGUUACAAGAAGGUGUUUCAAUUGUUAAAUACACUAAGAAAUCUAUAUUAGUAUGAUAGGCCAAGGACUUUGUUUUUGUACUUAAUAAAUAUGGAAAAUUUCACACAAUGGGGUCAUAUGGUAAACCCCUUUGUACCUUCUCCAGCUCUAACAGUAACUCGGGUUAAUUUAGUUUCGUCUAUGGCUCCACCCAGUCCUAUUCUCACUCCAUUUCAUUUGUAAAUAUUUGCGUAUAUUGUCUAUAGAAGAUUGAGUCCCUCUCUUUUUCUUUUCUGCCACGCCCACAGCCUGGGGAAGUUCCUGGAUCAGAGAUGGAACCUGUGCCAUAGCAGCAACCCAAGUUGCUGCAGUGACGCCAGACCCUAAACUAGCCGCACCACCAGGGAAUUCUGAGUCAUCCUCUUUUUAAUAUACCCGAAAUAUAAUGAUCGCACCUAAAAAAUUAAUAAGAUCUUAAUAUGUAGAAGUACUUUUUAAAAAAAUGUGGUACUCAUUUGAUAUAAAGGGAAUAAACAGCGCAAACACUUUAAUGUUUGAUUCUCUGAAAAAUACAGUAUUAAUUGUUGCCU
This 1232-nucleotide long non-coding RNA is filed under the name Sus scrofa (pig). RNAcentral's name for it is "lncRNA (ENSSSCG00025046817.1)". Lineage: Eukaryota; Metazoa; Chordata; Mammalia; Artiodactyla; Suidae. The record is from RNAcentral.